This 606-nucleotide ribosomal RNA is filed under the name uncultured bacterium. Its description in RNAcentral is "bacterial SSU rRNA". It matches the Rfam family "Bacterial small subunit ribosomal RNA", at positions 338 to 949 of the family's 1533-position model. The record is from RNAcentral.
CCUACGGGAGGCAGCAGUAGGGAAUAUUGGGCAAUGGGCGAAAGCCUGACCCAGCCACGCCGCGUGCAGGAAGACGGCCCUCUGGGUUGUAAACUGCUUUUAACUGGGAAGAAAGAAGCCUAUGCGUAGGAAGUUGACGGUACCAGUUGAAUAAGCCACGGCUAACUACGUGCCAGCAGCCGCGGUAAUACGUAGGUGGCGAGCGUUAUCCGGAUUUAUUGGGUUUAAAGGGAGCGUAGGCGGCUAAUUAAGUCAGUGGUUAAAGGUAGCAGCUUAACUGUUUUACAUGCCAUUGAUACUGGUUAGCUUGAGUUGACGGAAGGCAGAUAGAAUUUCUGGUGUAGCGGUGAAAUGCUUAGAUACCAGAAGGAAUACCGAUUGCGAAGGCAGUCUGCUGCAGUCACACUGACGCUGAGGCUCGAAGGUGCGGGGAUCAAACAGGAUUAGAUACCCUGGUAGUCCGCACAGUAAACGAUGAUUACUAGAUGUUGGCCAAGCCAGUGUCCAAGGGAAAACCGAUAAGUAAUCCACCUGGGGAGUACGCCGGCAACGGUGAAACUCAAAAGGAAUUGACGGCNGAGACGNGCGAGACGACACGAGGGAGAG